GACGAACGCUGGCGGCGUGCUUAACACAUGCAAGUCGAACGGAAAGGCCCUGCUUUUGUGGGGUGCUCGAGUGGCGAACGGGUGAGUAACACGUGAGUAACCUGCCCUUGACUUUGGGAUAACUUCAGGAAACUGGGGCUAAUACCGGAUAGGAGCUCCUGCUGCAUGGUGGGGGUUGGAAAGUUUCGGCGGUUGGGGAUGGACUCGCGGCUUAUCAGCUUGUUGGUGGGGUAGUGGCUUACCAAGGCUUUGACGGGUAGCCGGCCUGAGAGGGUGACCGGCCACAUUGGGACUGAGAUACGGCCCAGACUCCUACGGGAGGCAGCAGUGGGGAAUAUUGCACAAUGGGCGGAAGCCUGAUGCAGCAACGCCGCGUGCGGGAUGACGGCCUUCGGGUUGUAAACCGCUUUCGCCUGUGACGAAGCGUGAGUGACGGUAAUGGGUAAAGAAGCACCGGCUAACUACGUGCCAGCAGCCGCGGUGAUACGUAGGGUGCGAGCGUUGUCCGGAUUUAUUGGGCGUAAAGGGCUCGUAGGUGGUUGAUCGCGUCGGAAGUGUAAUCUUGGGGCUUAACCCUGAGCGUGCUUUCGAUACGGGUUGACUUGAGGAAGGUAGGGGAGAAUGGAAUUCCUGGUGGAGCGGUGGAAUGCGCAGAUAUCAGGAGGAACACCAGUGGCGAAGGCGGUUCUCUGGGCCUUUCCUGACGCUGAGGAGCGAAAGCGUGGGGAGCGAACAGGCUUAGAUACCCUGGUAGUCCACGCUGUAAACGGUGGGUACUAGGUGUGGGGUCCAUUCCACGGGUUCCGUGCCGUAGCUAACGCUUUAAGUACCCCGCCUGGGGAGUACGGCCGCAAGGCUAAAACUCAAAGGAAUUGACGGGGCCCCGCACAAGCGGCGGAGCAUGCGGAUUAAUUCGAUGCAACGCGUAGAACCUUACCUGGGUUUGACAUGGAUCGGGAGUGCUCAGAGAUGGGUGUGCCUCUUUUGGGGUCGGUUCACAGGUGGUGCAUGGCUGUCGUCAGCUCGUGUCGUGAGAUGUUGGGUUAAGUCCCGCAACGAGCGCAACCCUUGUUCACUGUUGCCAGCACGUUAUGGUGGGGACUCAGUGGAGACCGCCGGGGUCAACUCGGAGGAGGGUGGGGAUGACGUCAAGUCAUCAUGCCCCUUAUGUCCAGGGCUUCACGCAUGCUACAAUGGCUGGUACAGAGAGUGGCGAGCCUGUGAGGGUGAACGAAUCUCGGAAAGCCGGUCUCAGUUCGGAUUGGGGUCUACAACUCGACCUCAUGAAGUCGGAGUCGCUAGUAAUCGCAGAUCAGCAACGCUGCGAUGAAUACGUUCCCGGG
RNAcentral lists this ribosomal RNA (1343 nucleotides) under uncultured bacterium. RNAcentral describes it as "16S ribosomal RNA". It matches the Rfam family "Bacterial small subunit ribosomal RNA", at positions 28 to 1378 of the family's 1533-position model. The record is from RNAcentral.